AGAGUUUGAUCCUGGCUCAGGAUGAACGCUAGCGACAGGCUUAACACAUGCAAGUCGAGGGAGAACCCUUCGGGGUGAAACCGGCGCACGGGUGAGUAACGCGUAUGUAACCUGCCUCUAAGUGGGGGAUAGCCCAGCGAAAGCUGGAUUGAUACCGCAUAAUGCUGAUGAUUGACAUCUUUUAUCAGCUAAAGAUUUAUUGCUUAGAGAUGGACAUGCGUUGGAUUAGCUAGUUGGCGGGGUAACGGCCCACCAAGGCGACGAUCCAUAGGGGUUCUGAGAGGAAGGUCCCCCACAUUGGUACUGAGACACGGACCAAACUCCUACGGGAGGCAGCAGUGAGGAAUAUUGGUCAAUGGGCGGAAGCCUGAACCAGCCAAGUCGCGUGAAGGAUGAAGGUAUUAUGUAUUGUAAACUUCUUUAGACGUAGAGAAAUAAGCCCCUCGCGAGGGGUGAUGCUAGUAUACGUAGAAUAAGGAUCGGCUAACUCCGUGCCAGCAGCCGCGGUAAUACGGAGGAUCCGAGCGUUAUCCGGAUUUAUUGGGUUUAAAGGGUGCGCAGGCGGCUUUUUAAGUCAGUGGUCAAAUCGUGGGGCUCAACCCCAUCCCGCCAUUGAUACUGGAGAGCUUGAUUGCGGUCGAGGUUGGCGGAAUUCGUCGUGUAGCGGUGAAAUGCAUAGAUAUGACGAAGAACACCGAUUGCGUAGGCAGCUGACCAGGCCGUAAAUGACGCUCAUGCACGAAAGUGCGGGGAUCGAACAGGAUUAGAUACCCUGGUAGUCCGCACAGUAAACGAUGAAUACUUGUUCUUGGCGAUACACUGUCAGGGGCAAAGCGAAAGCGAUAAGUAUUCCACCUGGGGAGUACGCCGGCAACGGUGAAACUCAAAGGAAUUGACGG
RNAcentral lists this ribosomal RNA (899 nucleotides) under uncultured bacterium. RNAcentral's name for it is "bacterial SSU rRNA". It matches the Rfam family "Bacterial small subunit ribosomal RNA", at positions 8 to 916 of the family's 1533-position model. The record is from RNAcentral.